This 493-nucleotide ribosomal RNA is filed under the name uncultured bacterium. Its description in RNAcentral is "partial 16S ribosomal RNA". It matches the Rfam family "Bacterial small subunit ribosomal RNA", at positions 28 to 505 of the family's 1533-position model. The record is from RNAcentral.
GACGAACGCUGGCGGCGUGCCUAAUACAUGCAAGUAGAACGCUGAAGGAGGAGCUUGCUUCUCUGGAUGAGUUGCGAACGGGUGAGUAACGCGUAGGUAACCUGCCUGGUAGCGGGGGAUAACUAUUGGAAACGAUAGCUAAUACCGCAUAAUAGUAGAUGUUGCAUGACAUUUACUUAAAAGGUGCAAUUGCAUCACUACCAGAUGGACCUGCGUUGUAUUAGCUAGUUGGUGGGGUAACGGCUCACCAAGGCGACGAUACAUAGCCGACCUGAGAGGGUGAUCGGCCACACUGGGACUGAGACACGGCCCAGACUCCUACGGGAGGCAGCAGUAGGGAAUCUUCGGCAAUGGACGAAAGUCUGACCGAGCAACGCCGCGUGAGUGAAGAAGGUUUUCGGAUCGUAAAGCUCUGUUGUAAGAGAAGAACGAGUGUGAGAGUGGAAAGUUCACACUGUGACGGUAUCUUACCAGAAAGGGACGGCUAACUACG